Molecule: long non-coding RNA, 556 nt
Filed under: Capsella rubella
Lineage: Eukaryota; Viridiplantae; Streptophyta; Magnoliopsida; Brassicales; Brassicaceae
Description: long non-coding RNA (CRUB_LNC001626)
Source: RNAcentral
AUGAUUUCAGAACUAGUUGCAAAAUCUCAAUAACUCAAAAGAAAUAUGAAUUACAAUUUUCUGGAUUGUUUGGUGGCUAACAACAAAAACCUAAUAAAAAUAAAACUCGAUCCCUUGGGAAAUCCAAAUGAGACCUAUUUAUAACAAUGUUUGGGAAAACCUUAAAACAUAAAACGACAACGUAAAAGCGGUUUAAAAGUUGUAAUGGUCAUGUCGGUCGAGUGAGCGUGUCGAGUAACACUUAAUUUCUUCUCUGCAUCAUUUCAUACUCGACCGUGUUCCUCGAGUGAUUGUGUCGAGUGACCUGUGAAACCAUCAGCUACUUCUUUGCUUUGCUCGAUCAUGUCACUCGAGUGAGUGCAUCGAGUGACAGGUGGUUCUGCUUCGCUUCCCUUCUGCUCGAUCAGCUACUCGAUCGUAUACGUUUGCUGCUCACCGAUCGUCCUACUCGGUCGUGUCAAUCGAGUGAAAUAUGUUCCUGCAACGCAUCCUUGCUUCUCACUCGAUCGUCCCACUCGAUCAUGUGCAUGUCGAGUAACGCUUGUUCCUCUGCUUC